CGGCGGACGGGUGAGUAAUGCCUAGGAAUCUGCCUGGUAGUGGGGGACAACGUUUCGAAAGGAACGCUAAUACCGCAUACGUCCUACGGAGAAAGCAGGGGACCCUCGGGCCUUGCGCUAUCAGAUGAGCCUAGGUCGGAUUAGCUAGUUGGUGAGGUAAUGGCUCACCAAGGCGACGAUCCGUAACUGGUCUGAGAGGAUGAUCAGUCACACUGGAACUGAGACACGGUCCAGACUCCUACGGGAGGCAGCAGA
Molecule: ribosomal RNA, 255 nt
Filed under: uncultured Pseudomonas sp.
Lineage: Bacteria; Pseudomonadati; Pseudomonadota; Gammaproteobacteria; Pseudomonadales; Pseudomonadaceae
Description: partial 16S ribosomal RNA
Rfam family: Bacterial small subunit ribosomal RNA
Source: RNAcentral